RNAcentral lists this ribosomal RNA (663 nucleotides) under uncultured bacterium. Its description in RNAcentral is "bacterial SSU rRNA". It matches the Rfam family "Bacterial small subunit ribosomal RNA", at positions 8 to 689 of the family's 1533-position model. The record is from RNAcentral.
AGGGUUUGAUCAUGGCUCAGGACGAACGCUGGCGGCAUGCCUAACACAUGCAAGUCGAACGAGAAAGUUCCUUCGGGAGCAAUUAAAGUGGCGCACGGGUGAGUAACGCGUAGACAAUCUGCCCUUCAGUCUGGGACAACUUUUCGAAAGGAGAGCUAAUACCGGAUAACAAUGCAUGACACAAGUUGUAUAUUUGAAAGCUUUAUGUGCUGAAGGAGGGGUCUGCGUCCCAUUAGCUAGUUGGUAAGGUAAAGGCUUACCAAGGCAACGAUGGGUAGCGGGUUUGAGAGGACGAUCCGCCACACUGGAACUGAGGCACGGUCCAGACUCCUACGGGAGGCAGCAGUGGGGAAUAUUGCACAAUGGAGGAAACUCUGAUGCAGCAAUGUCGCGUGAGUGAAGAAGGCCCUUGGGUCGUAAAGCUCUUUUAUGGGGGAAGAUGAUGACGGUACCCCAAGAAUAAGCACCGGCUAACUAUGUGCCAGCAGCCGCGGUAAUACAUAGGGUGCGAGCGUUGUUCGGAAUUACUGGGCGUAAAGGGCGCGCAGGCGGAAUAGUAAGUCGGAGGUGAAAGCCCGGGGCUCAACCCCGGAGGGUCUUUCGAAACUACUAAUCUAGAGAGGGUCAGGGGCCGGCAGAAUUCCUGGUGUAGAGGUGAAAUUC